GACGAACGCUGGCGGCGUGCUUAACACAUGCAAGUCGAGCGGUAAGGCCCUUUCGGGGGUACACGAGCGGCGAACGGGUGAGUAACACGUGGGUGACCUGCCCUCAGCUCUGGGAUAAGCCUGGGAAACCGGGUCUAAUACUGGAUAUGACUCCAUGACGCAUGUUGUGGGGUGGAAAGCCUUGUGCGGCUGAGGAUGGGCCCGCGGCCUAUCAGCUUGUUGGUGGGGUGANGGCCUACCAAGGCGACGACGGGUAGCCGGCCUGAGAGGGCGACCGGCCACACUGGGACUGAGACACGGCCAGACUCCUACGGGAGGCAGCAGUGGGGAAUCUUGCGCAAUGGGCGAAAGCCUGACGCAGCGACGCCGCGUGA
RNAcentral lists this ribosomal RNA (374 nucleotides) under uncultured bacterium. Its description in RNAcentral is "bacterial SSU rRNA". It matches the Rfam family "Bacterial small subunit ribosomal RNA", at positions 28 to 404 of the family's 1533-position model. The record is from RNAcentral.